RNAcentral lists this long non-coding RNA (1004 nucleotides) under Gossypium barbadense (sea-island cotton). RNAcentral's name for it is "long non-coding RNA (GBAR_LNC020078)". Lineage: Eukaryota; Viridiplantae; Streptophyta; Magnoliopsida; Malvales; Malvaceae. The record is from RNAcentral.
UAAUUCUAUAUCAUACUGUUCUGUUCAAGUCUCCUAUUACAGUAAUGAAAGCAAUAUUGACUAAUAAUGGUGAGGAUACGGAUACCUAGUAACGAGUGUCAGAUACGGAACCAUGACCAGAGAACCUGAUAAACACACAUGUGCUAUUAAGCAACGUCUUUAUGUGAUUACGUCUGUAGGAAUUCAGAUUGUUAUUGCUUUGCCUCACUGCUCAAUGGAUGCUGAUUUUUUCUGAAGUUAUUAAUCUAUUUGUUUUACUUUUGCUUUAAUGGUCACUGAUAAGGUUUCAACUUCUGCAGUUGUACAUUGAAGGAUACCUACAAGCUAUGUAUGACUCAAUGUAUAGGCAAGAAUAUAUUCGACUGAGAGUAAUUGAUGACUAGGUAACUAAUUAAGUGAGAAAAUAGAAAUAUCAGUACUGCAACAACAUUUAUUUAUUUGAGAUUUAGAUGGCAGCGAAAGGGGACAUCUAAUUGCUGAGGCAUGUUUCAUAAUUAUAUUAUCACUUCUAACAAAGUGUUCAUCCAAAACAGAACCAUACAAAACAGAAACAACAAAAUCUGCUACAUCAAUCCAAACCUGCAAUCGGGGAAAACAUAUCCCAAAACCAUGAAUACAAAUGUAAAACUAACCUGUAAUGAGCAAAUCGGGACGACUGCGAUGAAGAAACCAAGGAACAAAGAACCUGUAAUGAGAAAAGGGAAAUCGAUUAGUUGAAACGAAACCAUAACCAGCAAAUAAUGCAGGCAAACAAAUAAUGAAAAAAAAUUCAUAACCAGCAAGAAACCCUAUUCCGAUUUACCAAGAAACUGAUGAAACAAUCGCAAUCGGAUUUAUAAAAAAAAAUGCAACAACACCCACUAAUGCAUGCAGAGAGGAAGAUGCGAAGAAAUAUGCGAAAUAUGCGAAGAUGGAAGUCUGAGACCGUUUAGCAGAGAAAUAUGCGAAGAGGAAAGAUGAGAAAUGAUGACCGGCUGAGACCGUUUAGCAGAGAAAUAUGCGAA